CCUACGGGAGGCAGCAGUGGGGAAUAUUGGACAAUGGGGGCAACCCUGAUCCAGCCAUGCCGCGUGUGUGAAGAAGGCCCUCGGGUUGUAAAGCACUUUCAGUGAGGAAGAACGCCUGGUGGUUAAUACCCAUCAGGAAAGACAUCACUCACAGAAGAAGCACCGGCUAACUCCGUGCCAGCAGCCGCGGUAAUACGGAGGGUGCGAGCGUUAAUCGGAAUUACUGGGCGUAAAGCGCGCGUAGGUGGCUUGAUAAGCCGGUUGUGAAAGCCCCGGGCUCAACCUGGGAACGGCAUCCGGAACUGUCAAGCUAGAGUGCAGGAGAGGAAGGUAGAAUUCCCGGUGUAGCGGUGAAAUGCGUAGAGAUCGGGAGGAAUACCAGUGGCGAAGGCGGCCUUCUGGACUGACACUGACACUGAGGUGCGAAAGCGUGGGUAGCAAACAGGAUUAGAUACCCAUGUAGUC
This 465-nucleotide ribosomal RNA is filed under the name Vreelandella stevensii. RNAcentral's name for it is "partial 16S ribosomal RNA". It matches the Rfam family "Bacterial small subunit ribosomal RNA", at positions 338 to 795 of the family's 1533-position model. Lineage: Bacteria; Pseudomonadati; Pseudomonadota; Gammaproteobacteria; Oceanospirillales; Halomonadaceae. The record is from RNAcentral.